UUAAUUGAAACCAAAUUAGAGGUACAUCACUGUUAAUGAUGAAAAUGAGAAUAUCUCCAAUUAAA
This 65-nucleotide transfer RNA is filed under the name Sinodendron yunnanense. RNAcentral's name for it is "tRNA-Asn". The record is from RNAcentral. Lineage: Eukaryota; Metazoa; Arthropoda; Insecta; Coleoptera; Lucanidae.